RNAcentral lists this ribosomal RNA (572 nucleotides) under Cortinarius sp. LM1534. Its description in RNAcentral is "eukaryotic LSU rRNA". The stretch from base 171 to 324 matches the Rfam family "5.8S ribosomal RNA". The record is from RNAcentral. Lineage: Eukaryota; Fungi; Basidiomycota; Agaricomycetes; Agaricales; Cortinariaceae.
CAUUAUUGAAAUAAACCUGAUGGGGUUGUUGCUGGCUCUCUAGGGAGCAUGUGCACGCCUUGUCAUCUUUAUAUCUCCACCUGUGCACCUUUUGUAGACCUGAAAUGGUCUAUGUUGCUUCAUUUGCUCCAAUGUAUGUUAAUAGAAUGUUGUGCCUUUAUAUUAUAUACAACUUUCAGCAACGGAUCUCUUGGCUCUCGCAUCGAUGAAGAACGCAGCGAAAUGCGAUAAGUAAUGUGAAUUGCAGAAUUCAGUGAAUCAUCGAAUCUUUGAACGCACCUUGCGCUCCUUGGUAUUCCGAGGAGCAUGCCUGUUUGAGUGUCAUUAAUAUAUUAUCAAGCCUUCUCUUGUAGAGAGUGGGGUUUGGAUGUGGGGGUUUGCUGGCCUCUUUAAAGGUUCAGCUCUCCUGAAAUGCAUUAGCGGAACAACCUUGUUCAUUGGUGUGAUAAACUAUCUACGCUAUUGAAUAUUGAGAGGGGCAGUUUCAGCUUUCUAACAGUCCUUGGGACAACUCAUUGUUAAUGUGACCUCAAAUCAGGUAGGACUACCCGCUGAACUUAAGCAUAUCAAUA